This is a long non-coding RNA of Drosophila obscura, 966 nucleotides long. RefSeq lists it as uncharacterized. Lineage: Eukaryota; Metazoa; Arthropoda; Insecta; Diptera; Drosophilidae. The transcript is spliced from 2 exons. The record is from RefSeq and is a predicted model, not a curated record.
AUGCACGGCGGAAAUAUCAAAUAUUUCAUCUAGUCGCCUUUACCUUACUCGCCAGCUCAGUAACACUUAUUUGAUUUUCCCAAGUUUCCUGCUGGCAAAUGAAUAUACAAAAUAAAAUAAAUAUGUUUGAAAUCACAAACUGCACGGUUUCCUACGUCAACGAUUGUGUGGAGCGCUCAUUGUUGCUCUCAAUCUUCCAAAAAAAUGCCACAUGGAUUGUCUUAUGUGUACUGCUUGUUUGUUGGUUAGUGAUCCCUAGUUUAUACGAGCCUAUCGAGUGCUUGCUCCAUACGAUUUUUAAUAUAAUAUGCAAAUUGAUGAUCAAAUACUUCGAGUACAAUCCGGUGGUCCCAACGCGUCGAAUGUUUUUCGGAAAUAAGAAGACAUUGCUAGUGGAUUUGAAAGCGCUAGUAUCUAUAAACUAUACAGAAGGUUUACAGAGAGUAUGCGGUGUGCCCUGUGACUAUAGUAUCCAUAUGCCCGAAAACCACAUCACAUUACAGAUCUUCAAGCGUCCCUUUCUUGAUUUUUUCCUUGAGACUGUCUCCAAAUGGUACACUGUCGUCAUAUACCACGAUGUGGAGAACAAAUACGCAACGCAGGUACUUGACGUUCUGGAUCCCGAUCGGAAUAUAUUGGAGCGACGCUUGGCUUGUCGCUCCAGCUUAUAUCCUGGCCUGAGGGCUGACUACAUUUCGCUGGCUUUUCCCCAUCUUCGAGAAUUCAUAUUGUUGGAUGGUGCUACUAAUUUCGGCUUGUGCUAUCAUGGCAAUUGCAUCUAUAUCAAGAAUUAUCAGAUCGGCGACUGGGAUAUGCGAUUCCUGUUCCUAUUGCCCGUCUUGGACUGUCUUCGCUUUGUCAAGGAUGUGGAUGAUACCUUGAAACGGUGCAAAUUAUUGGCAUGGUGUUGCCUCAAGUGUUGCAAAUAAGGGAAUGUAACAAUAAAAACCAUUACGUCACGACUAA